CCUUAGCUCAGUGGUAGUAGCGCACCCCUAGUAAGGGUGAGGUCGCGAGUUCGAACCUCGCAG
This 63-nucleotide transfer RNA is filed under the name Eutreptiella gymnastica. It matches the Rfam family "tRNA", at positions 6 to 65 of the family's 71-position model. Rfam says of the family: Transfer RNA (tRNA) molecules are approximately 80 nucleotides in length. Their secondary structure includes four short double-helical elements and three loops (D, anti-codon, and T loops). Lineage: Eukaryota; Euglenozoa; Euglenophyceae; Eutreptiales; Eutreptiaceae. The record is from RNAcentral.